AGAAGAGCCAAUAUUUCAGUUUGAGUCUGAAGGCAGGAAAAGACUGAUGUCCCAUCUCAAAGCAGUCAGGCAGAGGGAGUUCCCUCUUGUUCUCACUCAAGGAAGGAUGGCGCAGUGCUCCCGCUGUUCCGAGGCUCAGCUACCCUGAGGGAGGCAGGGAAUUUUGAUCAGCUUCUGAAGAAUCACCUCAUCUCUCCCCGCAGAGAGCACAGAGCACAGGACUUCACGUUAUGUCAACAUCUCUUGCAAAAGCCCAGCUCCUAGAGAGCAGGAGCCUUCCCAGACUGUGUCAAAUUACCUCGGGGAUGGAGAGACUUACAUGGCAUUAAUAGAAAUCAAAUGGCAGAGCUCGGGUUUCUGAUGAGUCUCCUGAGGUUCAGAAGGGUGAGAUGACACAUUCAAGGUCACAUGGCUCAUUUGUGUUGGAGUCAGAAGUUUCCAGAUUUCUUGACUUUUAGUCCAAGGAGCAGUCCCUGUGCAUGUGUCAGAGUUGAACAAGCCAGGUUCCAGGAGAGCAGAUGGUCCUGAAGAAGGUCUUCCUGGCUGAUCUGAGAGGUGACACAGAAGAAUAAAGAAGGGAAGGAUGAGAUGAGCUUCUGAGUUUGGAAACUGCAUUGAUGUUGAAGAUGGUCUCAAAGUUGUCAGGUGGAAGUUCAGAGAAAGACAAGAUUAUAGACAAAA
Molecule: long non-coding RNA, 681 nt
Filed under: Homo sapiens (human)
Lineage: Eukaryota; Metazoa; Chordata; Mammalia; Primates; Hominidae
Description: HSALNT0072692
Source: RNAcentral